AUUGAACGCUGGCGGCAUGCUUUACACAUGCAAGUCGAACGGUAACAGGUUAAGCUGACGAGUGGCGAACGGGUGAGUAAUGCAUCGGAACGUGCUCGGUCGUGGGGGAUAACGCAGCGAAAGCUGCGCUAAUACCGCAUACGAUCUGAGGAUGAAAGCGGGGGACCGUAAGGCCUCGCGCGAUCGGAGCGGCCGAUGUCAGAUUAGGUAGUUGGUGGGGUAAAGGCUCACCAAGCCGACGAUCUGUAGCUGGUCUGAGAGGACGUCCAGCCACACUGGGACUGAGACACGGCCCAGACUCCUACGGGAGGCAGCAGUGGGGAAUUUUGGACAAUGGGCGCAAGCCUGAUCCAGCAAUGCCGCGUGCAGGAAGAAGGCCUUCGGGUUGUAAACUGCUUUUGUACGGAGCGAAAAGGCUCUCUCUAAUACAGGGGGCUCAUGACGGUACCGUAAGAAUAAGCACCGGCUAACUACGUGCCAGCAGCCGCCGUAA
This 493-nucleotide ribosomal RNA is filed under the name uncultured bacterium. Its description in RNAcentral is "partial 16S ribosomal RNA". It matches the Rfam family "Bacterial small subunit ribosomal RNA", at positions 30 to 523 of the family's 1533-position model. The record is from RNAcentral.